Molecule: unclassified non-coding RNA, 348 nt
Filed under: soil metagenome
Description: partial contains 5.8S ribosomal RNA, internal transcribed spacer 2, and large subunit ribosomal RNA
Rfam family: 5.8S ribosomal RNA (bases 1-120)
Source: RNAcentral
GAUGAAGAACGCAGCAAAAUGCGAUAAGUAAUGUGAAUUGCAGAAUUCAGUGAAUCAUCGAAUCUUUGAACGCACAUUGCGCCCGCUGGUAUUCCGGCGGGCAUGCCUGUUCGAGCGUCAUUUCAACCCUCAAGCCCCCGGGUUUGGUGUUGGGGAUCGGCUCUGCCCUUCUGGGCGGUGCCGCCCCCGAAAUACAUUGGCGGUCUCGCUGCAGCCUCCAUUGCGUAGUAGCUAACACCUCGCAACUGGAACGCGGCCCGGCCAUGCCGUAAAACCCCAACUUCUGAAUGUUGACCUCGGAUCAGGUAGGAAUACCCGCUGAACUUAAGCAUAUCAAUAAGCGGAGGA